This 258-nucleotide ribosomal RNA is filed under the name uncultured bacterium. RNAcentral's name for it is "partial 16S ribosomal RNA". It matches the Rfam family "Bacterial small subunit ribosomal RNA", at positions 524 to 776 of the family's 1533-position model. The record is from RNAcentral.
GACAGAGGGUGCAAACGUUGUUCGGAUUUACUGGGCGUAAAGCGCGUGUAGGCGGCUUCGUAAGUUGGAUGUGAAAUCCCACGGCUCAACCGUGGACGUGCAAUCCAAACUACGUCGGCUGGAGUCGUCGGAGAGGAAGGUGGAAUGGCUUGGUGGUAGAGGUGAAAUUCGUAGAUAUCGGGAGGAACACCAGUGGCGAAGGCGGCGAUCUGGGAAGAUACUGACGCUGAGGUGCGAAAGCGUGGGGGAGCAAACAGG